ACCUUCUCUUAAAAAUCCCUAAAUUUUCUAGCACAAGUUACCACUACCACACCACCGUCACCACGUUUUCACGAUCUCAAGAUCGUUGAAACCGUUUCAUCAUCCUCUAUAUAUUUAACUCACGAUGAACUCAAACUCAUUUAUUUGCUCUCAGAAAUUUUGAAUCAUUAAUUUCUCUCAACGGUUCAUGCGGGCUGCUCUGUAUGGUACAUUGGUACAGAAGCAUCAGAGAUAUAUGUGUUUCUCUCAACUGUUCGGUGCAGAAGCAUCAGAGAUAUAUGUCUCAGUCUGCUACGUCUCUGGCUCUCUCACGUACUCAGCCUCCUCAGAUUCAUGUCUUGGACGUUGGUGGUGAGUUCUUACUUCACACAUUAAUUUUAUUUUUUGUUGCAUGAUAAUGACUUCAAAUUGUUUUAAAACAGUACAUGGCUAGCAUUUGUCCAUUGCAGACAAUGACACGUAAUGGGAACAUUAUACUUUGUUCCACAUACAGGAGAUACAAGAGUUGGUGAACUUGAUUAAAGUAACGAGUUUUACUUCCAAUCUCAAUCUUUGUGUUAAUCAAAUGCCUACUUGAAAUAUCCGAUCAUGAGAAUCAAGAUUUGACUGAUUGAAAGAUUUGUUCAGAAUGUGAGGAGUGUGCAAUUUCAAAAUUGAUUUGUUUCCGUAAGAUAAGUGGACGAUUACAGGCUGAUCCCGUACAACAUAAAAAUGGUGUGGACGGGAAAGCGAUCAAAGGAUUGGAAGAUGAUUCUCCUGGCUGACGAGGCGGCAUAGCGAAACCUGAACAACAUCACAGAAUGACAAUUAAAACAGAGGAAGCAAGUAAAAGUUCAAAAACAUGUGUUUCAAACGUUUAAGCACUGAAUGUCGUUCAAGAUGAGUUUCAAUGGAGUUAACUUCAUAACAAAGACGAGUUGCGGUUUUCCGAGAAAGAUCAAAGCGACAACACCAACAAAAGUAAAAUUUAGAGAUAAUGUUAUUUUUAUUGUCUCCAAAACAUUUAAGAUCAAUGUAGUGGUGAUAUAGUAUUAAAUCUAUGAUAAAUCCAUUAUGAAUU
Long non-coding RNA from Arabidopsis lyrata subsp. lyrata, 1060 nucleotides. RefSeq lists it as uncharacterized. The record is from RefSeq and is a predicted model, not a curated record. Lineage: Eukaryota; Viridiplantae; Streptophyta; Magnoliopsida; Brassicales; Brassicaceae. The transcript has 3 exons.